CAGUAGCCACGGGAACACGUAGGCAGCGAGCGUUGUUCGGAAUUACUGGGCGUAAAGAGUGUGUAGGCGGUGCUCUAAGUUCGGUGUGAAAUCUCCCGGCUUAACUGGGAGGGUGCGCCGGAAACUGGAAUGCUCGAACGUGGGAGAGGAAAGCGGAAUUCCUGGUGUAGCGGUGAAAUGCGUAGAGAUGUGGAGGAACACCAGUGGCGAAGGCGACUCUCUGGUCUGUAACUGACGCUGAGGAGCGAAAGCGUGGGGAGCGAACAGGAUUAGAUACCCCUGUAGUCCCUGUCUCUUAUAC
Molecule: ribosomal RNA, 301 nt
Filed under: uncultured bacterium
Lineage: Bacteria
Description: partial 16S ribosomal RNA
Rfam family: Bacterial small subunit ribosomal RNA
Source: RNAcentral